UCGAGAAUUUUUCACAAUGGGGGCAACCCUGAUGGAGCGACGCCGCGUGGAGGAUGAAGGUUUUCGGAUUGUAAACUCCUGUCACUGCAGAACAAAAUCAUGCGUUCUAAUAAAGCGUAUGGUCGAUGGUAUGCGGAGAGGAAGGGACGGCUAACUCUGUGCCAGCAGCCGCGGUAAUACAGAGGUCCCGAGCGUUGUUCGGAUUCAUUGGGCGUAAAGGGUGUGUAGGAGGUCAGGUAAGUCGGAUGUGAAAUCUCGCCGCUUAACGGCGAAAUGGCAUUCGAAACUACUUGGCUCGAGGAUUGGAGGGGGAGGCGGAAUUCAUGGUGUAGCAGUGAAAUGCGUAGAUAUCAUGAGGAACACCGGUGGCGUAGGCGGCCUCCUAGAAAAUUCCUGACUCUGAAACACGAAAGCCAGGGGAGCAAACGGGAUUAGAUACCCCCGUAGUCC
This 450-nucleotide ribosomal RNA is filed under the name uncultured bacterium. RNAcentral's name for it is "bacterial SSU rRNA". It matches the Rfam family "Bacterial small subunit ribosomal RNA", at positions 355 to 796 of the family's 1533-position model. The record is from RNAcentral.